RNAcentral lists this ribosomal RNA (274 nucleotides) under uncultured bacterium. RNAcentral's name for it is "partial 16S ribosomal RNA". It matches the Rfam family "Bacterial small subunit ribosomal RNA", at positions 523 to 796 of the family's 1533-position model. The record is from RNAcentral.
CUACGAAAGGUGCAAGCGUUGUUCGGAUUUACUGGGCGUAAAGAGAUCGUAGGUGGUUUAUUAAGUCGGAUGUGAAAUCCCGGGGCUCAACCCCGGAACUGCAUUCGAUACUGGUAGACUAGAGUUUGGGAGGGGUAAGCGGAAUUCCGUGUGUAGCAGUGAAAUGCGUAGAUAUACGGAGGAACACCUGAGGCGAAGGCGGCUUACUGGACCAAUACUGACACUGAGGAUCGAAAGCGUGGGUAGCAAACAGGAUUAGAAACCCUAGUAGUCC